UAAAGGGAGACCAACUAGAGCAGCGGGAAAAAAAGUAAAGACUGUUGUAUCUAGAAUCCCUGGUCGAGCAAGGAAGAAAAGUAGGAAGAAACUUUCAAACUAGAGUUAUGGUUCGAUUAUGGGCUAUUAGCUCAGGUGGUUAGAGCGCACCCCUGAUAAGGGUGAGGUCCCUGGUUCAAGUCCAGGAUAGCCCACCUAACCAAGCCGGGGGGUAUAGCUCAGUUGGUAGAGCGCUGCCUUUGCAAGGCAGAAGUCAGCGGUUCGAGUCCGCUUACCUCCAGGAAAAAGUCCAGACCUCAGCAAUCAGACCUGAAAAAAACAAGUCAGACUGCUGGGAAUCUAUUUUCCAGUAAGAACCUAGAAAACUGCAUAGUCAAAGAAGUAAAAAGUAACUGAAAAGGAUUUAGGUGUAAUUAAACAUCUAACAAAGUCCAGUCAGGUAGAGAAAAAGUGGUCAAGUGAAUAAGGGCUGACGGUGGAUACCUAGGCAC
Molecule: transfer RNA, 491 nt
Filed under: Okeania plumata NAC8-45
Lineage: Bacteria; Bacillati; Cyanobacteriota; Cyanophyceae; Oscillatoriales; Microcoleaceae
Also listed under: 1 other name
Description: partial contains 16S ribosomal RNA, 16S-23S ribosomal RNA intergenic spacer, and 23S ribosomal RNA
Rfam family: tRNA (bases 208-280)
Source: RNAcentral